This 1552-nucleotide ribosomal RNA is filed under the name Acinetobacter baumannii. Its description in RNAcentral is "partial 23S ribosomal RNA". It matches the Rfam family "Bacterial large subunit ribosomal RNA", at positions 1396 to 2925 of the family's 2925-position model. Lineage: Bacteria; Pseudomonadati; Pseudomonadota; Gammaproteobacteria; Moraxellales; Moraxellaceae. The record is from RNAcentral.
GCGAGGCCGAAAGGCGUAGUCGAUGGGAAAAUGGUUAAUAUUCCAUUACUUCUGUGUAAUGCGAUGAGAGGACGGAGAAGGCUAAAUCAGCCUGGCGUUGGUUGUCCAGGUGAAAGGAUGUAGGCAUGUAUCUUAGGCAAAUCCGGGGUACUCUAUGCUGAGAUCUGAUAGCAAGCUGUACUUGUACAGCGAAGUGGUUGAUGCCAUGCUUCCAGGAAAAGUCUCUAAGCUUCAGUUACACAGGAAUCGUACCCGAAACCGACACAGGUGGUCAGGUCGAGUAGACCAAGGCGCUUGAGAGAACUCUGCUGAAGGAACUAGGCAAAAUGGUACCGUAACUUCGGGAGAAGGUACGCUGUUGUUGGUGAUGGAACUCGCUUCCUGAGCUGACGACAGCCGCAGAAACCAGGCCGCUGCAACUGUUUAUUAAAAACAUAGCACUCUGCAAACACGAAAGUGGACGUAUAGGGUGUGAUGCCUGCCCGGUGCUGGAAGGUUAAUUGAUGGGGUUAGCGUAAGCGAAGCUCUUGAUCGAAGCCCCAGUAAACGGCGGCCGUAACUAUAACGGUCCUAAGGUAGCGAAAUUCCUUGUCGGGUAAGUUCCGACCUGCACGAAUGGCAUAAUGAUGGCGGCGCUGUCUCCAGCAGAGGCUCAGUGAAAUCGAAAUCGCUGUGAAGAUGCAGUGUACCCGCGGCUAGACGGAAAGACCCCGUGAACCUUUACUGCAGCUUGACACUGAACUUUGACCUUACUUGUGUAGGAUAGGUGGGAGGCUUUGAAGCUGGAACGCUAGUUCCAGUGGAGCCGUCCUUGAAAUACCACCCUGGUAAUGUUGAGGUUCUAACUCUGUCCCGUGAUCCGGGACGAGGACCGUGUCUGGUGGGUAGUUUGACUGGGGCGGUCUCCUCCUAAAGAGUAACGGAGGAGUACGAAGGUGCGCUCAGCGUGGUCGGAAAUCACGCGUAGAGUAUAAAGGCAAAAGCGCGCUUAACUGCGAGACCCACAAGUCGAGCAGGUACGAAAGUAGGUCUUAGUGAUCCGGUGGUUCUGUAUGGAAGGGCCAUCGCUCAACGGAUAAAAGGUACUCUGGGGAUAACAGGCUGAUACCGCCCAAGAGUUCAUAUCGACGGCGGUGUUUGGCACCUCGAUGUCGGCUCAUCUCAUCCUGGGGCUGAAGCAGGUCCCAAGGGUAUGGCUGUUCGCCAUUUAAAGAGGUACGCGAGCUGGGUUUAGAACGUCGUGAGACAGUUCGGUCCCUAUCUACCGUGGGCGCUGGAAAUUUGAGAGGAUCUGCUCCUAGUACGAGAGGACCAGAGUGGACGAACCUCUGGUGUACCGGUUGUGACGCCAGUCGCAUCGCCGGGUAGCUAUGUUCGGAAGGGAUAACCGCUGAAAGCAUCUAAGCGGGAAGCCUACCUCAAGAUAAGAUUUCCCUAGGACUUUAUGUCCUCUAAAGAGCCGUUCGAGACUAGGACGUUGAUAGGUUGGAUGUGGAAGCAUAGUGAUAUGUGAAGCUGACCAAUACUAAUUGCUCGUGAGGCUUGACUAUAC